CACCGUGUGCUGUUGAACUUGAGUCAACUGUAGAAGGUAAGUAAAUAUUUGUGAUUUGCUGUUGAUUGUUGAAUUUGUGUACCCUUAAUUGUUAAAUUUGGGUACUCUUGAUUGUGAAUUUGUUUGCUGUUGAUUGUUGAAGUUUUGUGCUCUUGAUUGUUGGAAGUUUUGUGCUCUUGAUUGUUGAAGUAAACCCAUGGCCAUGAACCGAUCGAACCGACCGAACCGAACCGAACCGAACUAGAUUGGUUCGAUUCGGUUAUCCCUCUUAUUCGGUUCGGUUCGGUUUAUGUAAAAUACUGCAUUUCGGUUUUCGGUUAUAUCGGUUC
Molecule: long non-coding RNA, 329 nt
Filed under: Manihot esculenta (cassava)
Lineage: Eukaryota; Viridiplantae; Streptophyta; Magnoliopsida; Malpighiales; Euphorbiaceae
Description: long non-coding RNA (MESC_LNC000114)
Source: RNAcentral